CUUUCUUUCUUUCUUUCUUUUUUUUUUUUUUUGAUGCAGUUUUCCAAAGGAGCAUUUUGGCGAGAUAAGAAGUGACCGAUCAAAAUCGCUGAGGGGAGGUUGUAAGCAGCCGCUUUGCCCCAGCUUAACGUUAUCUUAUCUUUCACACUUGCGCGACGGAAAAAAAUUGGCUUAUCUUCAGCCCCACCCCCUUCUCGCCUUAAUUGCUAAAAAGCACUGGUGUGUUCAACCUGGAGGAAAGAGGUCUGAUCGCCAGGGGGAAAGGAAGAUUCCAGAAUGUGGGCGCCUGGGAACAGCAAGAGUUGGAAAAUGUGCCCGUAGAGAUGGAAGAGAACCCCUUUAAUCCCACCAGCCCAAAUGAGGAUACCUUGGAGGCGAGACUCCUGA
Myotis brandtii (Brandt's bat) is the source of this 387-nucleotide long non-coding RNA. RefSeq lists it as uncharacterized. The transcript has 2 exons. The record is from RefSeq and is a predicted model, not a curated record. NCBI's taxonomy places the organism in Eukaryota, Metazoa, Chordata, Mammalia, Chiroptera, Vespertilionidae.